Molecule: ribosomal RNA, 369 nt
Filed under: Triticum aestivum (bread wheat)
Lineage: Eukaryota; Viridiplantae; Streptophyta; Magnoliopsida; Poales; Poaceae
Description: partial small subunit ribosomal RNA
Source: RNAcentral
AUGUCUCAAUUGGGUUAUAUGAUGUUAGCUCUAGGUAUAGGUUCUUAUCAAGCUGCUUUAUUCCAUUUGAUCACUCAUGCUUAUUCAAAAGCUUUAUUGUUCUUGGGAUCCGGAUCCGUUAUUCAUUCAAUGGAACCUCUUGUUGGAUAUUCACCAGAUAAAAGUCAAAAUAUGGUUCUUAUGGGCGGUUUAAGAAAAUACAUUCCAAUCACAAGAACUACUUUUUUAUGGGGUACACUUUCUCUUUGUGGUAUUCCACCUCUUGCUUGCUUCUGGUCCAAAGAUGAAAUCCUUAGUAAUAGUUGGUUGUAUUCGCCCUUUUUUGGAAUAAUAGCCUCCUUUACUGCAGGAUUAACUGCCUUUUAUAUG